GAUGAAGAACGCAGUGAAAUGCGAUAAGUAAUGCGAAUUGCAGAAUUCAGUGAGUCAUCGAAUCUUUGAACGCACAUUGCGCCCUGUGGUAUUCCGCAGGGCAUGCCUGUUCGAGCGUCAUUUCAACCCUCAAGCCCCGCUUGGUGUUGGGCCCCGCCCGCUGUGGCCGGCCCUAAAGACAGUGGCGGCGCCGCCUGGCCCUCAGUGUAGUACAUCUCUCGCUCCAGGGUCCGGUGGCCGCCUGCCAGAACCCCCCAACUCUGUGGUUGACCUCGGAUCAGGUAGGGAUACCCGCUGAACUUAAGCAUAUCAAUAAGCGGAGGA
RNAcentral lists this unclassified non-coding RNA (324 nucleotides) under soil metagenome. RNAcentral describes it as "partial contains 5.8S ribosomal RNA, internal transcribed spacer 2, and large subunit ribosomal RNA". The stretch from base 1 to 120 matches the Rfam family "5.8S ribosomal RNA", at positions 35 to 154 of the family's 154-position model. The record is from RNAcentral.